UAGAAGUGGCUAGACACACAACUGCUUGAUAAAAGAACGCUACUUACUGCAUUAGAAACCCCAGACAUUGCAAACGCCCAGCAAUGACUACUCUCCUAUACCAGGAUUUUGCUUUUCAGGGCAGGUGAUUGCUAACUGGGUGUCAUUUUCAAAACAAGUAGAACAUUUGUUUUUUUUUUAAAGGGAUUACUUCUUUCUGGGCUUCAUCUUGCAGAACUGUCUGGUGGAGGAACGGUGUGAGCUUGGCAGACACUCUGUGAUGCUGCAGAUAUGCAGGACAGAGCAAUUGUGCACAUCAACCUCACCUACAACAUUCAGGAAGUGAGAGAAACAGCUGUGGCAACUGACCGAAAUAUUUCCAUGUUUGCAAUAGACAGCAACAACACACAUCCGGAAACAUCUUCCUGCAUAUUUAUAUUGGCAGAGCGCACUCAUGGCCACAUCGUUCACUCAUUUCUGUUGUUUCAGUCCCACAUAAAACACCUUCUAGUAAAGCCUUUGUUUCCUGGUGGCUUAUGCAAAUUGGUUUUGCUUCAUUUUCAUGUUUGUUUAUUCCAUGCAAUGGAGAAGAGCAUACUUUUAGGGAACCCUGUCAAGAGCUAAAUUCAUUUCAGAUGCUUCAUAGACAGACUUGUUUGGCAGCAAAAUGUUGCUUUCCUGGAGCUGGAAAUACUCACCUGCAGAGUAAUAGAUGGGACUGAGACACUCGGUAGUUAAGAUCAAACUAAGACAGAGUAGAGAGCUGAAUCCAAAUGGACACAGAUUCUUCAGUGCAGAUGUCCAGCUUCCCAAUGUUCAACAUGCUUGGUUCUCUAUGCGGCAUUCCCACUUUCUCAGUUCAAUGGGAUGCAAUCAAAUAAAACUCCAGUUGUGAGGAACAGCUCCAUUGCUAGAAUAAUGGAAAACAGAGUAAGUGCAGACAAAGAAAAAUGUGCUGGUUUACUCAAAGAUGAACAUAUUUGCCUUGAGCAUAUACAAACCAAUGUGCAAAACAGCUGAGAUGAUACCAGAUCAGACAGGACAGAUAAAUCUUAAUGGCCUAACUAUGCAGUGCUUUCUACACAUACACAGCUACAAACAUGCGAAGAUCCCUAGCAGGAAGCUGUACAGCUCUGAAUACAAACCUCUAAGCAUAUUCAUGAUUUCAGUAUUAACAGCUGGACUCAAUUCACAGAAGACGCUCAGACUAGCUCUGUACUGAAAAAAAAUCCAGAGGCCAAACUGCCGCUGUCAGUAAUUCAUGGCCACCGACUUUGCCUUAGAAUCUAGCACUUGCUGCAGAACUUGUGCUCCAGACUCCACAUGUCCAUUUAGCACCAAUGUGUUCAGCCUUGACAACUGCAAGUACCUCCAACUUCUGUAAGCUAACUUCUACAAUGGAAUUCAGCUAAAGCAAGCCCAUAUCCAGCAGCACAUGGG
Molecule: long non-coding RNA, 1419 nt
Organism: Egretta garzetta (little egret)
Lineage: Eukaryota; Metazoa; Chordata; Aves; Pelecaniformes; Ardeidae
Exons: 3
Source: RefSeq, a predicted model, not a curated record